CCUACGGGUGGGCAGCAGUGGGGAAUAUUGGACAAUGGGGGGAACCCUGAUCCAGCCAUGCCGCGUGUGUGAAGAAGGCCCUCGGGUUGUAAAGCACUUUCAGUGAGGAAGAACGCCUGGUGGUUAAUACCCAUCAGGAAAGACAUCACUCACAGAAGAAGCACCGGCUAACUCCGUGCCAGCAGCCGCGGUAAUACGGAGGGUGCGAGCGUUAAUCGGAAUUACUGGGCGUAAAGCGCGCGUAGGUGGCUUGAUAAGCCGGUUGUGAAAGCCCCGGGCUCAACCUGGGAACGGCAUCCGGAACUGUCAAGCUAGAGUGCAGGAGAGGAAGGUAGAAUUCCCGGUGUAGCGGUGAAAUGCGUAGAGAUCGGGAGGAAUACCAGUGGCGAAGGCGGCCUUCUGGACUGACACUGACACUGAGGUGCGAAAGCGUGGGUAGCAAACAGGAUUAGAUACCCCAGUAGUC
RNAcentral lists this ribosomal RNA (466 nucleotides) under Vreelandella stevensii. Its description in RNAcentral is "partial 16S ribosomal RNA". It matches the Rfam family "Bacterial small subunit ribosomal RNA", at positions 338 to 795 of the family's 1533-position model. Lineage: Bacteria; Pseudomonadati; Pseudomonadota; Gammaproteobacteria; Oceanospirillales; Halomonadaceae. The record is from RNAcentral.